This is a long non-coding RNA of Xiphias gladius (swordfish), 1296 nucleotides long. RefSeq lists it as uncharacterized. The transcript is spliced from 3 exons. The record is from RefSeq and is a predicted model, not a curated record. NCBI's taxonomy places the organism in Eukaryota, Metazoa, Chordata, Actinopteri, Istiophoriformes, Xiphiidae.
GCAGAAGAAGAAGAAGAAGAAGAAGAAGAGGAGGACGACGGUUAUUUCUCAACCAUCCUCUGUUCAGAAUAAAAAGUCUUAUUGUGAAACAUCCGAUGCCGACCAGUUCCUGGAGAACAUCUCCUGCCUCCUCCUGAAGCGUGUGAGACCGUUCAUUAUGCGUCUGCAAAUAAGCACACUGUGUCCUGAAACGACGCCGAAAGGACAGAUAAACACACACUAUCCUUCGUAUUCCUUCCAAAAAAAAAAAAAGAAGAAGAAGAAGACGAUGUGAAUCUUUGUGCAACUGAGCAGUUCGUGGAAAGGGCUCAGAGCAACUGUGCCAUGAGUUGUACUGUCUUUAAUUUAGGCUACAGGACUAAGCUCCCAAAAUGAAGGGCGAGCUCUGCGCAGUGAUAGAUGUCGGGGAAAAAAAAAGAAAAGAAGAAGAAGAAGAAGAAGAAAAAAAGCCCAGAAAACAAGGUCUCAUCUUGCUGUCAGCUGUGUGGCAGUACAAGUUGUUGACCCCCCCCCCCCCGUAUGUGGCUUUCAGUCGACAGCAGCUGUGGAUCCUCUCCUGACGCUCCUGUCGCCCUCCACACCAGUGUUUAAACUCGGGCCACCCUGAGAAGAAUCAGCUGUCGGCUUGUUUAGGCUGAGGGAGUGCUGAAGAUGAGAAUGACUUGGUGUGAUGAUGGCCGGCCCCUGGCUCUGUGCAUCACUGUGCCCUCUCUUCCAACGGGCUGUUCAGCGGGGGGAUUUCAGUGGGUGUUUCUAUUGCUAGUGGAACUCGAGUGGGAUUCACUGGCUAAUUUAAGACGUUCCAUGUGAUAUUACAAAGCUCAACAGCUCUUUCCUCUCUUCUUUUCUCUUCUAGUCCGACGCUCUCUUCUGACUCUGGAGUGUAAACCUAGCUAGAACGGAACAAUAGGCAAUUGAGCAAGUACUUAAUCAGCAGAAUAAUAACCUCUCUGCACUAUUUUAACAAUCAAUCUAAUGUUUUAAAUCAAGAUACAAAACAUUACGUAGUCCUAGCUUUUUAAGGAGUUGCUGCUUUUUCAGUGAUUUAUGUGAUUGUCUGGACUGCAGAGCAAACAAUUUUAAGACGUCGCUUUGGCUUUAGCAAGUUCUAAUGGUCAUUUUCAUUAUUUUCAUCAUCUUUGGAGAAAAUAAUCCUCAAAUUAACGAGGAGAAUGGAAAAUAACGGUUAGCUGGCAGCCCUGAACCUAGCAAACUCAAGUUUUUUGUAAUAUACUCCUGAUUUCCAACCAAUUUGACCCAACAUGGAUGUUUAUUUUUUUAGGAGGGGACUUCAUC